GAAAUGCGAUAAGUAAUGUGAAUUGCAGAAUUCAGUGAAUCAUCGAAUCUUUGAACGCAGCUUGCGCUCCUUGGUAUUCCUUGGAGCAUGCCUGUUUGAGUAUCAUGAAAUCUUCAAAGUAAAUCUUUUGUUAACUCAAUUGGUUUCUACUUUGGUAUUGGAGGUCUUUGCAGCUUCACACCUGCUCCUCUUUGUUCAUUAGCUGGAUCUCAGUGUUAUGCUUGGUUCCACUCGGCGUGAUAAGUUAUCUAUCGCUGAGGACACUGUAAAAGGUGGCCAAGGUAAAUGCAGAUGAACCGCUUCUAAUAGUCCAUUGACUUGGACAAUACUUUUAUGAUCUGAUCUCAAAUCAGGUAGGACUACCUGCUGAACUUAAGC
Molecule: unclassified non-coding RNA, 378 nt
Filed under: plant metagenome
Description: partial contains 5.8S ribosomal RNA, internal transcribed spacer 2, and large subunit ribosomal RNA
Rfam family: 5.8S ribosomal RNA (bases 1-105)
Source: RNAcentral